RNAcentral lists this ribosomal RNA (439 nucleotides) under uncultured bacterium. Its description in RNAcentral is "bacterial SSU rRNA". It matches the Rfam family "Bacterial small subunit ribosomal RNA", at positions 47 to 475 of the family's 1533-position model. The record is from RNAcentral.
CCUAACACAUGCAAGUCGAACGGUAACAGGAAACAGCUUGCUGUUUCGCUGACGAGUGGCGGACGGGUGAGUAAUGUCUGGGAAACUGCCUGAUGGAGGGGGAUAACUACUGGAAACGGUAGCUAAUACCGCAUAACGUCGCAAGACCAAAGAGGGGGACCUUCGGGCCUCUUGCCAUCGGAUGUGCCCAGAUGGGAUUAGCUAGUAGGUGGGGUAACGGCUCACCUAGGCGACGAUCCCUAGCUGGUCUGAGAGGAUGACCAGCCACACUGGAACUGAGACACGGUCCAGACUCCUACGGGAGGCAGCAGUGGGGAAUAUUGCACAAUGGGCGCAAGCCUGAUGCAGCCAUGCCGCGUGUAUGAAGAAGGCCUUCGGGUUGUAAAGUACUUUCAGCGGGGAGGAAGGGAGUAAAGUUAAUACCUUUGCUCAUUGACGU